Molecule: non-coding RNA, 1118 nt
Organism: Cyanistes caeruleus (blue tit)
Lineage: Eukaryota; Metazoa; Chordata; Aves; Passeriformes; Paridae
Source: RefSeq, a predicted model, not a curated record
GCUGGGUGGAUCCCUCCUGGAGGGAGGUGGGCUCUGCUCUACCUCCUGAGAGGAGAUUCUUCUUUGUGGUUUGUAUCCCUCUUUCACACCCCUGAGUAUCUGGGGCGCUAUUUUAAGUGGGAAGGGAGAGAAAAAGUGUUCUAUGCUGAGUAGGGUUGGCUGCAGGCUCUGAGAUUGUGGUGCCUUGAUCAUGAAGACAGACCUAAAUUUCCACUGACAUAAAAGGCUCAUCAGCCCUUGGUGCUGCUGUGUGAGGUGUCUGGCCCCAGAUGACUGUUUUGCUGAUGAGACCUUCCAGGGACACCUGCUCCAAGAUCCUCUGUCUUUCUCCUUGACUGCGCCUCACAUCAAGACAAGGACUAGCCCAGGGAGUCCUUUAGAGAGAAAAAAAAACCUUAUGGAGUAGAAAUCUUUCUUUCCCUAAAAUAAAUCAACAAGAGGAGGUUUAUAAUUUCUCCAGGGGGAAAAUUGCACCUGCCAGCCUGUUUCCUCAGGCCUGGGCUCUUGAAGCACUUGAGCACAAUUCCAGCUUGAAUUGCAGGAGUUCUCCUCCUGCCUGGCUCCCGUCGGAUGACUCAUGGCUUUCAAAGUUGGUCACGUCCUUCAGGAUCCUGUGGAAUUGAAUGGAGCCUUUCCUUCCCUGCAGCUCAAGGAUACAGAAUGGGAGCUGUCCUCCCUUCCAGCCCUGCCUCCUGCAUGAGCUCAUGUCAAAAUGUUCUCCUUGGAAAGUUGCAGCACGGUUCUGUUUGACAGACAGGAACACAGGAACAUGCUGGGUGCUUUGCCACAUUUCCCACAGGGAAUUUCACAUCUCUUCAGUUUAAACAAGGGUUUUCUCCGUGUCUUGUUUAACCCCCUUGCUGCCCUGCCACAGGAAAUAUUCCUGCAUGGCCUAAAUCUUUAUUUCCAGCUUUAGAAUGGGACUAGAGGCAGAGUUGAGACAGCCUGGAUUUUAGGUUAGAGGGACACUUUGCAUCGUAUCUUGGAGCUGAUGGGCUUCACCUGCAGCUGAGGCCUGGGAUGACGAGGGGUGAUGGUUUGGAACUAAAAGAGAGGAGGUUUAGACUCGAUGUAAGGAAGAACUUUUUUACAGUGAGAGUGGUGAGGCCUGGCACAGG